This is a non-coding RNA of Monodelphis domestica (gray short-tailed opossum), 1508 nucleotides long. The record is from RefSeq and is a predicted model, not a curated record. NCBI's taxonomy places the organism in Eukaryota, Metazoa, Chordata, Mammalia, Didelphimorphia, Didelphidae.
CAGAAGAGAGAAGGGAGCAGAGUGGAGAGAAGUUCCAAGACAACAGACUGGAUGUGGACUGGAAGAAGAAGUCAGGAAUUCAGGAAGACUUCAAAGCUGGGAGAGGGAGGGACUGGGAGGAUGGUGUUAGCAAGGCAGGGGGUGGUGGAGGAUUGAUGGGGAAAGAGAAUGAGUCAGACUUGGGACCAGUUGAGUAGAAGACAUCUGAGCGGGAGUCCUGAAAUGGGAAGUCAACAGAGAAACGGGUGGGAAAGGUAGAUUUGAGACUCGUAGCCCAGAGGUGGUGGAACUGAUGGCCUCCCCAGGUGAAGUCAUCUAGAGGGAGGAGAAAGGACGGCCCAGGACCGGGUCCUGAAGGACACUCCAUUAGGGGACAUGAUAUGAAGGAGGAUCUGGCAAAGGAAACGGAGUGGUCAGCAGGGUAGGAGGAAAAGCAGGAGAAAGUGAGGUCUCAGAAACCUAGGGGGGAGUAUCAAGGAGAAGGGAGUGAUGGAGGAACAGCGCAGAAGGCUGCAGAGAGGUUGAGGAGAAGAAGGACCAAGAAAUGGCCACUGGAUUGGGCAAGUAAGAGACCUUUCUGUAACCUGCCUUUCCAACUCAUCUUGCAACCAAAAUGGCUUUCUCUCAAGUUAGCAUUUAAGUUAUUUAAUUGUCAAAUCCAGUGGCUUUUUCUCAGUUCUAAGACAUUGAAAAUGAGCAUAAAUUGUCAUUCACCUCCAUUCAGACUAUUUCAGAAUUGGUGUUUUUCAGUAGAAAGACCAGUAGCUUUGGCAUUAAAGGACCCGGGUUCAAAUCCUGCCCUUGAUAAUACCUGGGUGACUUUAGACAAGACACUUGACUUCAAGGGCCUUAGUCUUCUCAUCUGCAAAAAUGACAGGGGGUGGACUAGAUGGUCAUUGAGGUGCCUUCUGGAUCCCGGAUCCUUUGGUUCUUAAUUGUUACAGUGGCCCUAUUGGAUUGCCAUCCCCACUUUGGAGCCGGGACUCCUAGAAGUUACUCGACAUGGUGUCUAGCCUUUGACAAAGAACCAUCGCUCGGUAUCUAUGACAUCCUCAUUGAGGCUGUGCCUCCUUUCAGCAUUAAGAACAAUGCCCGUGGGUCUUAAAUGCUUUGGGACUACACGACCUCCUCCGGCCCAAGGAAUGCCACCACCCGGCUAAGGAUCCAUUAUUGAACACAACAUGAUGGUAAAAUCAGAACGGAGGCUGGCAGAAAGGAAGAGACCAGCAUCUUGCACCAGCUACCAAGAUAAGCUCCAAGUGGAUCCGGGCCACAUUGUGAAGGAAUUACGGCAAUAGAAGUAAGCCCAUAAUCACACUAAUCUAUAUUUUCCAUACUAAUCCAUGUAAUCCAUAACUAUGAAUAGGGAAAGAGUCCAUGACCAAACAAGGGAUGAAGAGGACCACAGAAGCUAGAAACUGCCUUUUAGGACAAGUGCAGCUUCUCAAAGAUGGAAGACUUUUUUAAGCACACAGGUGGUGCUCAAUAAAUGCUGCUUUCUAUUGCAA